UAGGGAAUCUUCCGCAAUGGACGCAAGUCUGACGGAGCAACGCCGCGUGAGUGAAGAAGGUUUUCGGAUCGUAAAACUCUGUUGUUAGAGAAGAACAAGUGCUAGAGUAACUGUUAGCGCCUUGACGGUAUCUAACCAGAAAGUCACGGCUAACUACGUGCCAGCAGCCGCGGUAAUACGUAGGUGGCAAGCGUUAUCCGGAUUUAUUGGGCGUAAAGAGAGUGCAGGCGGUUUUCUAAGUCUGAUGUGAAAGCCUUCGGCUUAACCGGAGAAGUGCAUCGGAAACUGGAUAACUUGAGUGCAGAAGAGGGUAGUGGAACUCCAUGUGUAGCGGUGGAAUGCGUAGAUAUAUGGAAGAACACCAGUGGCGAAGGCGGCUACCUGGUCUGCAACUGACGCUGAGACUCGAAAGCAUGGGUAGCGAACAGGAUUAGAUACCCUGGUAGUCCAUGCCGUAAACGAUGAGUGCUAGGUGUUGGAGGGUUUCCGCCCUUCAGUGCCGGAGCUAACGCAUUAAGCACUCCGCCUGGGGAGUACGACCGCAAGGUUG
This 550-nucleotide ribosomal RNA is filed under the name uncultured bacterium. Its description in RNAcentral is "bacterial SSU rRNA". It matches the Rfam family "Bacterial small subunit ribosomal RNA", at positions 355 to 896 of the family's 1533-position model. The record is from RNAcentral.